GAGUCAGUAGGUUGGUCGUGCCACCGGUACGUACUGGUCUCACUGAUUCCUCCUUCCUGAAGAACCGUAAUGCCAUUAAUUUGGUGUUGCGGGGAAACAGGACUGUUACUUUGAAAAAAUUAGAGCGUUUAAAGCAAGCUAACGCUUGAAUACAUUAGCAUGGAAUAAUGAAAUAGGACGAUCGAUCCUAUUUUGUUGGUUUCUAGGAUUGACGUA
Molecule: ribosomal RNA, 216 nt
Filed under: Glomeromycotina sp.
Lineage: Eukaryota; Fungi; Glomeromycota
Description: partial small subunit ribosomal RNA
Rfam family: Eukaryotic small subunit ribosomal RNA (bases 40-216)
Source: RNAcentral